UACAGAGGGUGCGAGCGUUGUCCGGAAUCACUGGGCGUAAAGGGCGCGUAGGUGGCCUGAUAAGUAGGGGGUGAAAUCUCGAGGCUCAACUUCGAGGCUGCCUUCUAAACUGUCGGGCUUGAGCAGAGUAGAGGCAGGUGGAAUUCCCGGUGUAGCGGUGGAAUGCGUAGAGAUCGGGAAGAACAUCGGUGGCGAAGGCGGCCUGCUGGGGUGAUGCUGACACUGAUGCGCGACAGCGUGGGGAGCAAACAGG
This 253-nucleotide ribosomal RNA is filed under the name uncultured bacterium. RNAcentral's name for it is "partial 16S ribosomal RNA". It matches the Rfam family "Bacterial small subunit ribosomal RNA", at positions 524 to 776 of the family's 1533-position model. The record is from RNAcentral.